Molecule: long non-coding RNA, 846 nt
Filed under: Homo sapiens (human)
Lineage: Eukaryota; Metazoa; Chordata; Mammalia; Primates; Hominidae
Description: HSALNT0009793
Source: RNAcentral
AAAUAAAGGACAAAACAUUAAUAACGGGACACAUAAAGGUCUGCCUCCAAGGGAAUUGUGUGACUUAGUAAACAGAAAAGAAAAAAUGUUGAGUUUGUGGAUUAAAAAGCAAACUUGAAAGUGUGCCUCCUUCACUUUCUGCUGGCAAGGAAAAAAAAAAAAGAGAAAAGAAAGAACAAGAAAAAAAUAAGGUUUUAAAGAAAAGAAUUUAAAAAAAAAGAAUUUAAAAAACACUUGACAUACUUUCUCAGGAAAGCAAAAGCAGCCUGCACUGUGACUUAAACAUAACAGUAGUAGAAAUUCACUUUCAUUGUUAUUUCUCUCUCUAUUUUUUGGCCUAUAAAGGUCAGGCUCAUAGAAUAAGGAAUUCAUUGGUCUUCAGAGCAUUCAAGGAAUCAGUGGGUGGGGAGUGCUAACCGAGAAGCUGACAAAAGUGUUGACUUCUGGUACUAAAGAGAGAAAAUAGAUAAAUGAAAAAUGAAGCAGAUGAUAAAAAAAGAAAUAGAAAAAAGAGAGAGAAAAUAUUGGCCAGAACAAAAUUGUAAUGUGCGGAAGGGAUCUACAUGUCCAUCGGUAGGAAAAUGGCAAAAUAUGUUCAUCAGACAAGGACCCUUCAGCUGUGAUGAGGAACAUUCUUCAUUCCAACAAGAAAGGAAGUUUACAAAUUAUCAAGGGAAAAAUCAAGUUGCAAAACAAUGUAUCCAAUAUGACCCCACUUGUGUAAAACUGUGUAUGUGUAUUUGUACUAACAUUCACAUUUCUCUGUAUGUAUAGAAAAGUCUGGAAGUGUAGCCAUCAAUGUGUUCAUUAUGUUUACUUCUGAGGGAUGGAAUGGGAGAAGGGACA